CAAACCUAUAGAAAUGGGAAAACAUCAGUUAUCUGAUAAAGCAACAACAUAAUUUUGUUAAUAUGAAGUCAUUUAAUCAUUUAGAUUUCUGCACACUGCAGCUUCUUCCCUAAGUUCCCUAAACAGCUACUACAUUAAAUGCCUCAUAGGCGUAAAACAGAAAGAAGAAGCAGCAUCUAUGCACAGUUGAUAACCAUGGAGGAGGCCGAGGGGAACGAGGAGGAGGUCAUUUAUUUCUAAAAAAGUCUCAAAAGUAAAUAAAUUAUAAGUUGUGAUGGCAGCUAAAAUAUUUUUCACGUUUUUAUAGUUUGCUAAUUAAUGUUAAGAAAAUGUUACGUGCCCUUAAUUAAAGCUAGCUAGCUAGCUAAGCUAGCAGCAGACAAGCUAAAUUAGCAGUAGCAUGUGAUUUGUUGACAGUGUGAGACUUAUCCAUUUUUAUUUCAUCAAUUGGAAUUUAAAUGUAGCCUAUAAAUUAAUAUGACAAAUUUAAACUAGAGUAAUUGCAUUUCCUGAACAAAAAUGUCUGUGAUUGCUGCAUCUGCUGCUCGCUGGCUCAGCUUCUGAAACUAUCCCAGCAACAAGUGUUGGUGAUUCACGUCUGAAGAUACCGCCCACAUUCAGAGGUAACCGAGUGAUGCAUUCAAGAGAUAUGGUGAUAUGGUGGUGUUUUAUUAAUGGCCACACGGUGGAGCUAUUGGUGCUGUGCUUCGACAUGUUGUGGAAAAGCCAUGUAUCAAGUUUCAUCUUAUUAAACACAACAGAUUAUCAUGUUAUAGUGUUGUAGCGCCCCCUGCUGAAUCAAAUGUGACACACUUGUGCAUUGUGGCUGUAUGUACAAUAUUUCCAAAUUUGGUUGCAAUCCAAUUUAGCAUGGAAGAGUUAUGGCCUGUUAAGUGCAUGAGGUCACACCUUCAAAGGUUUGGGGACCCAUUACAGACAAACGGUAAGUCGUACCCAUAAACAAACUCAGAAGUUUCAUUCAGGGUCAUCUAAAUGUGGUAUGGACCAAGUUUGGUGAAGAUUGGAUGAAAUAUGUGCCGAAAGACACACACACCCCUCACACAGCUGAGACCGUUCACUCGGAAGCUCACUGCUCCGAUUAUAUUAGUCGGUUAGAUUCCAUAUUUAAAUGUCUUAACCAGCACAAAUUUGCCUACGUUCUGUCAUAAAAUGAAAUAUAAAGAGU
Long non-coding RNA from Sebastes umbrosus (honeycomb rockfish), 1186 nucleotides. RefSeq lists it as uncharacterized. The record is from RefSeq and is a predicted model, not a curated record. The transcript is spliced from 2 exons. NCBI's taxonomy places the organism in Eukaryota, Metazoa, Chordata, Actinopteri, Perciformes, Sebastidae.